This 652-nucleotide ribosomal RNA is filed under the name uncultured bacterium. RNAcentral describes it as "bacterial SSU rRNA". It matches the Rfam family "Bacterial small subunit ribosomal RNA", at positions 8 to 633 of the family's 1533-position model. The record is from RNAcentral.
AGAGUUUGAUCCUGGCUCAGAAUGAACGCUGGCGGCGUGCCUAACACAUGCAAGUCGAACGAGAAACUCCGGGCUUGCUCGGAGGAGUAAAGUGGCGCACGGGUGAGUAACGCGUGGGUAACCUGCCCUUGAACUUGGGAUAACUCCGUGAAAACGGAGCUAAUACCAGAUAUUGUCCUUAUAGCUUUGGCUUUGAGGAUGAAAGAUGACCUCUUCAUGAAAGUUGUCGAUCAAGGAGGGGCCCGCGUACCAUUAGCUUGUUGGUAGGGUAACGGCCUACCAAGGCUGCGAUGGUUAGCUGGUCUGAGAGGAUGAUCAGCCACACUGGAACUGAAACACGGUCCAGACUCCUACGGGAGGCAGCAGUGAGGAAUUUUGCGCAAUGGGGGAAACCCUGACGCAGCAACGCCGCGUGAGUGAAGAAGGCUUUCGGGUCGUAAAACUCUGUCAAGUGGGAAAAAAUACUUUCGAUUAAUAGUCGGGAGGGUUGAUGGUACCAUUGAAGGAAGCACCGGCUAACUCCGUGCCAGCAGCCGCGGUAAUACGGAGGGUGCAAGCGUUGUUCGGAAUUAUUGGGCGUAAAGAGCGUGUAGGCGGUUUGGUAAGUCAGAUGUGAAAGCCCUGGGCUUAACCUAGGAAGUGCAUUUGAUAC